GAUGAACGCUGGCGGCGUGCCUAAUACAUGCAAGUCGAGCGAACGGACGAGAAGCUUGCUUUUCUGAUGUUAGCGGCGGACGGGUGAGUAACACGUGGAUAACCUACCUAUAAGACUGGGAUAACUUCGGGAAACCGGAGCUAAUACCGGAUAAUAUUUUGAACCGCAUGGUUCAAAAGUGAAAGACGGUCUUGCUGUCACUUAUAGAUGGAUCCGCGCUGCAUUAGCUAGUUGGUAAGGUAACGGCUUACCAAGGCAACGAUGCAUAGCCGACCUGAGAGGGUGAUCGGCCACACUGGAACUGAGACACGGUCCAGACUCCUACGGGAGGCAGCAGUAGGGAAUCUUCCGCAAUGGGCGAAAGCCUGACGGAGCAACGCCGCGUGAGUGAUGAAGGUCUUCGGAGCGUAAAACUCUGUUAUUAGGGAAGAACAUAUGUGUAAGUAACUGUGCACAUCUUGACGGUACCUAAUCAGAAAGCCACGGCUAACUACGUG
This 497-nucleotide ribosomal RNA is filed under the name uncultured bacterium. RNAcentral's name for it is "partial 16S ribosomal RNA". It matches the Rfam family "Bacterial small subunit ribosomal RNA", at positions 28 to 507 of the family's 1533-position model. The record is from RNAcentral.